RNAcentral lists this ribosomal RNA (382 nucleotides) under uncultured bacterium. Its description in RNAcentral is "partial 16S ribosomal RNA". It matches the Rfam family "Bacterial small subunit ribosomal RNA", at positions 338 to 734 of the family's 1533-position model. The record is from RNAcentral.
CCUACGGGAGGCAGCAGUGGGGAAUAUUGGGCAAUGGGCGCAAGCCUGACCCAGCAACGCCGCGUGAAGGAAGAAGGCUUUCGGGUUGUAAACUUCUUUUGUCAGGGACGAAGCAAGUGACGGUAACUGACGUAUAAGCCACGGCUAACUACGUGCCAGCAGCCGCGGUAAUACGUAGGAGGCAAGCGUUAUCCGGAGUUACUGGGUGUAAAGGUCGGGUAGGCGGGGAGGCAAGUCAGAUGUGAAAACCACGGGCUCAACCUGUGGCCUGCAUUUGAAACUGUUUGUCUUGAGUGCUGGAGAGGCGAUCAGAAUUCCGUGGGUAGCGGUGAAAUGCGUAGAUAUACGGAGGAACACCAGUGGCGAAGGCGGAUCGCUGGAC